RNAcentral lists this RNase P RNA (420 nucleotides) under Candidatus Magasanikbacteria bacterium RIFOXYA2_FULL_44_8. RNAcentral's name for it is "RNase P RNA component class A". It matches the Rfam family "Bacterial RNase P class A". Rfam says of the family: Ribonuclease P (RNase P) is a ubiquitous endoribonuclease, found in archaea, bacteria and eukarya as well as chloroplasts and mitochondria. Its best characterised activity is the generation of mature 5'-ends of tRNAs by cleaving the 5'-leader elements of precursor-tRNAs. The record is from RNAcentral. Lineage: Bacteria; Candidatus Magasanikiibacteriota.
GGUUCGUGGUUGACGAUCGCGUAGGAGUAAUCCUGCGAGGAAAGUCCGAACAUCUUCCCGACUUAGUCGGGAAAAGUGACAGUGGGUAACGCCCACCAUUUGGGCUGUGAAGUCCAAAGCGGGAUAGCGGCACAGAGACAAUACUAGCGAAGCGGUCGGUGGACAGCAAUGUCUCCCGGUAGUUCGCGAAAGGUGAAAAGUGUAUGGAGGUUUUAGAUCUCGAGUCUAAAGUUACUAUACUCUCCCGAUAGUGAUAUCGGGACGUGCCAAGCCCUGUCUGAUGCAAGAGCAGUGUUCCGGCCAAAGGCCGGUUCAAAAAGUUCGCUCGCAUUGAUCGCACUGGCAACAGUGUGACUAGAGAAAUGAUCGUCGUCCACCUCUGGUGGAUUACAAAAUUCGGCUUAUAACCACGAAUAAAAA